GACAAACGCUGGCGGCGUGCAUAAAACAUGCAAGUCGAACGGGCCAAUCUCCGCAAGGAGAAAGGCUAGUGGCGAACGGCUGAGUAACACGUAGGUGACCUGCCCCGAAGUGGGGGAUAA
Molecule: ribosomal RNA, 120 nt
Filed under: uncultured bacterium
Lineage: Bacteria
Description: partial 16S ribosomal RNA
Rfam family: Bacterial small subunit ribosomal RNA
Source: RNAcentral